GACGAACGCUGGCGGCGUGCCUAAUACAUGCAAGUAGAACGCUGAAGAGAGGAGCUUGCUCUUCUUGGAUGAGUUGCGCACGGGUGAGUAACGCGUAGGUAACCUGCCUGGUAGCGGGGGAUAACUAUUGGAAACGAUAGCUAAUACCGCAUAAAAUGGAUUAUCGCAUGAUAAUCCAUUGAAAGGUGCAAAUGCAUCACUACCAGAUGGACCUGCGUUGUAUUAGCUAGUUGGUGGGGUAACGGCUCACCAAGGCGACGAUACAUAGCCGACCUGAGAGGGUGAUCGGCCACACUGGGACUGAGACACGGGCCAGACUCCUACGGGAGGCAGCAGUAGGGAUACGUCGGCAAUGGACGGAAGUCUGACCGAGAAACGCCGAGUGAGUGAAGAAGGGUUUCGGAUCGUAAAGCUCGGUUGUAAGAGAAGAAAGAGUGUGAGAGUGGAAAGUUCACACUGUGACGGUAUCUUACCAGAAAGGGACGGCUAACUACGUG
RNAcentral lists this ribosomal RNA (497 nucleotides) under uncultured bacterium. Its description in RNAcentral is "partial 16S ribosomal RNA". It matches the Rfam family "Bacterial small subunit ribosomal RNA", at positions 28 to 507 of the family's 1533-position model. The record is from RNAcentral.